Oryctolagus cuniculus (rabbit) is the source of this 2680-nucleotide non-coding RNA. The record is from RefSeq and is a predicted model, not a curated record. NCBI's taxonomy places the organism in Eukaryota, Metazoa, Chordata, Mammalia, Lagomorpha, Leporidae.
CUUUCUGCAAACGAGACUUGGAGACAAAAACAGGGUUUGAACCUCGCUGCUGGGGUUUCCACGGUGGCUCCACUCUGCCGCCCUUCCCAUUGGCUAGCCGGCCUGCUCUGGCCUUAGCAACAGAGGCUCGGAUACCCGGCUCUCUCCUGGUUGGCCAGGCGGUGCUGCGGCGCCAUGGCAACAGAGGCAGGGGGACCAGUCUCUGCAGGAUGGCUUGAGUCACUGUCUACCUGAGCUCGGCUGGGAUCCAGAAGGCGGCUCGAAGAAGGUGGCAGAGGGAACAGGUAGCCCCCACCUAAGCUCAGAAUCAGGUGGGGGAGGCUCCUCCCCCGCUGCCUGGUUGGUGGGGGUAGUGGGGGAAGGGGAGGCUUGGUACACUGAUGGCUCUAUCCUGUAUCUGCCAGCCUCUUCCCAGGCCUUCUCUUGUCUCUGUCUCCUGUAGAGGAAAAACCACACCUCCGGCAAUGCCAGGGGUUAAUUCACUUACUCAGAGUUAUGCAAGUUGCAAGCCAGGAUCUGAUUCCACAUUAUACUGCCUGACUUAAAGACUUCAUUCACUGGGGUCCUUGCUCGAGGAUCCAGGGGUCCUUUCCUUUUUUUUUUUAAUUAAUUUAUUUGAAAGGCAGAGCUACAGAGAGGCAGUGGCAGAGGCACAGAGAGAGAGGUCUUCCAUCUGCUGGUUCACUCUCCAAAUGGCCGCCAUAAUGGCUGAAGCUGGACUGAUCUGAAGCCAGGAGCCAAGAGCUUCUUCCAGGUGUCCCACAUGCGUGCACUUGGGCCAUCCUCCACUGCUUUCCCAGGUGCAUUAGCAGGGAGCUGGAUCAGAAGUGGAGCAGCCGGGAGGGGAACUGGCACCCACAUGGGGUGCCGGCACUGCAGGCGGCAGCUUUACCUGCUAUGCCAUAGCACUGGCCCCUCCUUCCAUUUUUAAUGGCUACCCCAACCCCCACUCCCACCAUUCUGUUGGUCUAGCAGUGAAUGCUUUUCAAAAAAGCUCCGUCAAUAUCAUUGGAUCAUCUCAACAACCCUGUGAGUUUGGUGCCUGCAGCAGCCAGGGCUGGGCCAGGUCGAAGUCAGGAGCAACGAAUUCAAUCCGGGUCUCCCACAUGGGCAGCAGGGACCUGAGUACUUGAGCCAUCACCUGCUGCCUUCCAAGGUGAGCAUUAGGAGGAAGCUGGAGCGGGAGAUGGAGCCGAGAGUUGAACCAGGUGCUCUGUGAUGGAUGCAUGUGUCCCGGGCAGCCAAACACCCAGCGCUCACAGUCGUUUUAACACUGCUUCUGUGUGCUUGCGGCUGUGUUGAAUAUGCACCACCUCGCUGAAUUCUCAUCACCACUUGAGGAGUCAGGUCCUUGCUGUCCAUUUAUGCUCAUAGCUGCAGAAACAGGUGCUCAGGAAGGUUAAGCGGCAUGCCCAAGGUCGCACAGCAGCAAAGCCCGAAUUCCAGCACGAGGCCGCCUGACUUCAAACCACAGCGAUGCUCUCUCUGCUCCCGGGCGACUCAAAGAGGCUCUGAGAGCUGAUCGCUCAGGUGCUGGGGAGAGGGCAGGGAGCAAAUCAUUAUGGUUCCUGCUCUCAUGACAGCUGGAGCUUAGUGGAAGAGAUGGACAGGAAGUCCACAAGUGGAGACAGCAUGAGUCCAAAUGGACAAGGAUAAUGGGUGGGCAGUGGCUGGAGGGGAGGUGGGGGGUGCGGCAGAGGAGGUUGUGUUACCCAGGAUGGUCGCGACAGGCAUUUCUGGAGAGGAUGACUCAGCAGACACCCCAGUGGGGAGGAGGCGGUCUUGUCAGCUGUCCGUGGCCAGAGCUGAUGCUGUGGACACCGGCGUGUUCAGUUCGAGUCCCAGUUGUUCCCCUUCUGAUCCAGCUCCGUGCUGCUGAACCCGGGAAAGCAGUAGAUGAGAGAGAGAGAGAUCUUCCAUCUACGGGUUCACUCCCCCAAAUGGCCACAACAACCAGGGCUGGGCCAGGCUGAAGUCAGAAGCCAAGAGCUCCAUCCAGGUCUCUCCAGCAUGGGUGGCAGGAGACCCAAGCACUUGAACCAUCAUCUUCUGCUUUCCCAGGCACAUAAACAGGAAGCUGCACUGGAAGUGGAGCAACCCGGGGCUCCAGCUGGCACUUGGAGAUGAGAUGCCGGCACUGCAAGCGACGCUGAACCUGCUGUGCCGUAAUUCCAGCCUCUCUGGGGCAUUCUUUUGCCAAAACAUCAUUUACCAUUCAUCCAAAUUUCAUUUUUUAAUGAGGCCUACUGCAUUGUCCCAGACGAUCCUAUGUGUGUGCUCACAGAAGAGUUUGAAGCAGGGAGACCACUUGGGCAGAUGAACAUUUUGGGAAGCCCUCAGGAGCGGUGGGAAAAUGGACCGGAAGGAGACCAGGAGGAGGCCGGGGGUGCGGUUCCUGCUAUCGCGCAGGCCAGGGAGCAGAUGAGGCUUCCCCACUGGGCUGUGGGGGCAUCUUAUCAUGUCUGCCGACUCUUCUGCCUCCUCCACUGGGCAGGUGGCCUUGGAGAGACGCCUCAGCUGAUGAAGUCCCCGGGGACCGCACACCAGAGACGGCAACCUUCACCCAGAGGAGGACUCGUGAGAUGACAGCCGAGGAUAAAGUGUUGAUGCUCAAGCCAGGCAGAGGGAAUGCAAUUAACAAGCAAGAACUGCUGUGGAUGCUGCUGUUGGUGGUGUUAUU